UAUUAAAAUAUAAAUAAGCAUAUUAAAUAUUGUUUAUAAGGCUAUUUUGUAAAAAUAGGCCACUAGUUUUGCAAUUUUGUAAAGAUGAACUAUUUUUUUAAAUUUUACCGAUCCGGACGGUGAGACCGAUUCUUUUUAAAUUGAACUAAAUAUUUUUAUUCUUCUUUUUCUUAUUUUUUUUCUCAUCCUGCUUACUCUCCCUCCUCCUCCAUUCGUCCUAACAUCGUCGUCGUGCUUAUCCCUAUUUCGCCUACAAGCAAGAGGUCGACAAUAAUCAAGCUUGACCCGUUCGUGGUCACGACCAUUUUCGACGUUAUUUUCCGGCAAUUGUCAUGUGGUAGAUACGAGGGUGGCGCUGCUUAGAGCAUCGUUGCAAAUAGAGGUGGCGGAGGAGAAGGACGAUGAUCACUGGUCGAUGAUGCUCGUAAAGCAGGUUCACAGACAAGGCCGAUAACAACAAAGUGGUGACAGUAGUAAAAGAGAAAAAUCUAGCAUCAUACUAUGUGAUGUUGUGCUAUUUUUUUAAAAAAAAUUAUACUAUUUGAAUGUAUUUUAUAUUAUUUAGUAAAAAAGUUACACUACUUAAUACAUAUAAUAAAAUAUACGUUAAAAUAGUACAAUUUUUUUUUAAUAGUGAAAC
This 640-nucleotide long non-coding RNA is filed under the name Ananas comosus (pineapple). Its description in RNAcentral is "long non-coding RNA (ACOM_LNC005986)". The record is from RNAcentral. Lineage: Eukaryota; Viridiplantae; Streptophyta; Magnoliopsida; Poales; Bromeliaceae.